This 449-nucleotide ribosomal RNA is filed under the name uncultured bacterium. RNAcentral describes it as "bacterial SSU rRNA". It matches the Rfam family "Bacterial small subunit ribosomal RNA", at positions 28 to 359 of the family's 1533-position model. The record is from RNAcentral.
GAUGAACGCUGGCGGCGUGCUUAACACAUGCAAGUCGAGCGGGCAAUUUAUCUAGCACUGAUUACUUCAAAUGGAAAUCAUAAGUGUAAUCAUGAAUUUCUACCUUUAAUAAAGAAAAAAGAAAUUCAUGUACGCAAAUAGUGAUAACACAUUUUAGUGAAGUGAUGAGUGCUGGAUAAAUUGCUAGCGGCGGACGGGUGCGUAACACGUGGGUAACCUGCCCCUAUCACUGGGAUAACACACUGAAAAGUGUGCUAAUACCAGAUAACAUAAGCUUUUGGCAUCAUUAGCUUAUCAAAGAAUUUCGGAUAGGGAUGGGCCCGCGUCUGAUUAGCUAGUUGGUGAGGUAACGGCUCACCAAGGCAACGAUCAGUAGCCGACCUGAGAGGGUGAUCGGCCACACUGGAACUGAGACACGGUCCAGACUCCUACGGGAGGCAGCAGUAGGG